GGAGGGCUAGCCUAACUGGCAAGGCAGCGGACUUGAAAUCCGCCGACCCAGCGAUGGGUCUUGGGGGUUCAAAUCCCUCGCCCUCC
RNAcentral lists this transfer RNA (86 nucleotides) under Caldifarciminota bacterium. RNAcentral describes it as "tRNA-Ser". It matches the Rfam family "tRNA". From Rfam's summary of the family: Transfer RNA (tRNA) molecules are approximately 80 nucleotides in length. Lineage: Bacteria; Pseudomonadati; Caldifarciminota. The record is from RNAcentral.